Molecule: ribosomal RNA, 492 nt
Filed under: uncultured bacterium
Lineage: Bacteria
Description: partial 16S ribosomal RNA
Rfam family: Bacterial small subunit ribosomal RNA
Source: RNAcentral
AUUGAACGCUGGCGGCAUGCUUUACACAUGCAAGUCGAACGGUAACAGGCCUUCGGGUGCUGACGAGUGGCGAACGGGUGAGUAAUGCAUCGGAACGUACCCAGAGGUGGGGGAUAACGCAGCGAAAGCUGUGCUAAUACCGCAUGUGAUCUGAGGAUGAAAGCGGGGGACCGAGCAGCAAUGUUUGGCCUCGCGCCUUUGGAGCGGCCGAUGUCGGAUUAGCUAGUUGGUGGGGUAAAGGCCUACCAAGGCGACGAUCCGUAGCUGGUCUGAGAGGACGACAAGCCACACUGGGACUGUGACACGGUCCAUACUACUUCGGGUGGCAGUGGUAGGGAUUUUUUGAAUAUGGGGACAAGUCUGAUGCAGCAAUGCCGCGUGCGUGAUAAUGGCCUUCGGGUUUUAAACAGCUUUUGGCAGGGACGAAACGGUGUCCGCUAAUACCGGGCGCUAAUGACGGUACCUGCAGAAUAAGCACCGGCUAACUACGUG